UACGAAGGGGGCGAGCGUUGUUCGGAAUUACUGGGCGUAAAGGGCGCGCAGGCGGCCUUAGAAGUCAGAUGUGAAAGCCCCGGGCUCAACCUGGGAAUGGCAUUUGAUACUCUGAGGCUGGAGUACGGGAGAGGAGAGUGGAAUUCCCAGUGUAGAGGUGAAAUUCGUAGAUAUUGGGAAGAACACCGGUGGCGAAGGCGGCUCUCUGGACCGUAACUGACGCUGAGGCGCGGAAAGCGUGGGGAGCAAACAGGAUUAGA
RNAcentral lists this ribosomal RNA (260 nucleotides) under uncultured bacterium. Its description in RNAcentral is "partial 16S ribosomal RNA". It matches the Rfam family "Bacterial small subunit ribosomal RNA", at positions 524 to 782 of the family's 1533-position model. The record is from RNAcentral.